GACGAACGCUGGCGGCGUGCUUAACACAUGCAAGUCGAACGGAAAGGCCCUGCUUUUGUGGGGUGCUCGAGUGGCGAACGGGUGAGUAACACGUGAGUAACCUGCCCUUGACUUUGGGAUAACUUCAGGAAACUGGGGCUAAUACCGGAUAGGAGCUCCUGCUGCAUGGUGGGGGUUGGAAAGUUUCGGCGGUUGGGGAUGGACUCGCGGCUUAUCAGCUUGUUGGUGGGGUAGUGGCUUACCAAGGCUUUGACGGGUAGCCGGCCUGAGAGGGUGACCGGCCACAUUGGGACUGGGAUACGGCACAGACUCCUACGGGAGGCAGCAGUGGGGAAUAUUGCACAAUGGGCGGAAGCCUGAUGCAGCAACGCCGCGUGCGGGAUGACGGCCUUCGGGUUGUAAACCGCUUUCGCCUGUGACGAAGCGUGAGUGACGGUAAUGGGUAAAGAAGCACCGGCUAACUACGUG
This 468-nucleotide ribosomal RNA is filed under the name uncultured bacterium. RNAcentral's name for it is "partial 16S ribosomal RNA". It matches the Rfam family "Bacterial small subunit ribosomal RNA", at positions 28 to 507 of the family's 1533-position model. The record is from RNAcentral.